CUCAGUUGGGAGAGCGCCUGCCUUGCAAGCAGGAGGUCACGAGUUCGAAUCUCGUAUUCUCCA
This 63-nucleotide transfer RNA is filed under the name Dorea formicigenerans. Its description in RNAcentral is "tRNA-Ala". It matches the Rfam family "tRNA", at positions 11 to 71 of the family's 71-position model. Rfam says of the family: Transfer RNA (tRNA) molecules are approximately 80 nucleotides in length. Their secondary structure includes four short double-helical elements and three loops (D, anti-codon, and T loops). Further hydrogen bonds mediate the characteristic L-shaped molecular structure. tRNAs have two regions of fundamental functional importance: the anti-codon, which is responsible for specific mRNA codon recognition, and the 3' end, to which the tRNAs corresponding amino acid is attached (by aminoacyl-tRNA synthetases). tRNAs cope with the degeneracy of the genetic code in two manners: having more than one tRNA (with a specific anti-codon) for a particular amino acid; and 'wobble' base-pairing, i.e. permitting non-standard base-pairing at the 3rd anti-codon position. Lineage: Bacteria; Bacillati; Bacillota; Clostridia; Lachnospirales; Lachnospiraceae. The record is from RNAcentral.